RNAcentral lists this ribosomal RNA (253 nucleotides) under uncultured bacterium. RNAcentral's name for it is "partial 16S ribosomal RNA". It matches the Rfam family "Bacterial small subunit ribosomal RNA", at positions 524 to 776 of the family's 1533-position model. The record is from RNAcentral.
UACGUAGGUGGCAAGCGUUGUCCGGAUUUACUGGGCGUAAAGAGCGCGCAGGCGGUCGUUCAAGGCGCGUGUGAAAGCCCCCGGCUCAACUGGGGAGGGUCACGCGAUACUGAUCGACUCGAAGGCAGGAGAGGGAAGUGGAAUUCCCGGUGUAGUGGUGAAAUGCGUAGAUAUCGGGAGGAACACCAGUGGCGAAGGCGACUUCCUGGCCUGUUCUUGACGCUGAGGCGCGAAAGCUAGGGGAGCAAACGGG